GACGAACGCUGGCGGCGUGCUUAACACAUGCAAGUCGAACGGAAAGGCCCUGCUUUUGUGGGGUGCUCGAGUGGCGAACGGGUGAGUAACACGUGAGUAACCUGCCCUUGACUUUGGGAGAACUUCAGGAAACUGGGGCUAAUACCGGAUAGGAUCUCCUGCAGCAUGGUGGGGGUUGGAAAGAGUCGGCGGUUGGGGAUGGACUCGAGGCUUAUGAGCUUGUUGGUGGGGUAGUGGCUUACCAAGGCUUUGACGGGUAGCCGGCCUGAGAGGGUGACCGGCGACCUUGGGCCUGAGGUACGGACCAGACUCCAACGGGAGGCAGUAGUGGGGAAUAUUGCACAAUGGGGGGAAGCCUGAUGCAGCAACGCCGCGUGCGGGAUGACGGCUUUCGGGUUGUGAACCGCUUUCGCCUGUGACGAAGCGUGAGUGACGGUAAUGGGUAAAGAAGCACCGGCUAACUACGUG
RNAcentral lists this ribosomal RNA (468 nucleotides) under uncultured bacterium. RNAcentral describes it as "partial 16S ribosomal RNA". It matches the Rfam family "Bacterial small subunit ribosomal RNA", at positions 28 to 507 of the family's 1533-position model. The record is from RNAcentral.